RNAcentral lists this ribosomal RNA (254 nucleotides) under uncultured bacterium. Its description in RNAcentral is "partial 16S ribosomal RNA". It matches the Rfam family "Bacterial small subunit ribosomal RNA", at positions 524 to 776 of the family's 1533-position model. The record is from RNAcentral.
UACGGGGGGGGGCAAGCGUUGUUCGGAAUUACUGGGCGUAAAGGGCUCGUAGGCGGCCAACUAAGUCGGAUGUGAAAUCCCCAGGCUCAACCUGGGAACUGCAUCCGAUACUGGAUGGCUUGAAUUCGGGAGAGGGAUGCGGAAUUCCAGGUGUAGCGGUGAAAUGCGUAGAUAUCUGGAGGAAUACCGGUGGCGAAGGCGGCAUCCUGGACCGACAUUGACGCUGAGGAGCGAAAGCCAGGGGAGCAAACGGG